Oncorhynchus tshawytscha (Chinook salmon) is the source of this 634-nucleotide long non-coding RNA. RefSeq lists it as uncharacterized. The transcript has 3 exons. Lineage: Eukaryota; Metazoa; Chordata; Actinopteri; Salmoniformes; Salmonidae. The record is from RefSeq and is a predicted model, not a curated record.
UGUGAUCACUCUCCACUGAGGAGAGCUGUUGGUUAAUUGUCUCUUACAUAAGAGUGCAUUUGCACAUAAGACAUGUAAAAACAACAACAGAGCAACAGCGAGAGAAUGCAGUCCUCAGCUAUUUGAAAUGGCGGUAGGGGCAUAAGAGAAAUGGGAAUCUUUAUGCCUGGUUCCACAGUAAUUAUUAUAUGGUGCCCAUUCUGCUGGUGGUGCAUUCAUCUCCUGGUCACCCAGAAGCAGAUGUCACCAGGAAGAUGGAGCGACUGUCACGACUUCCGCCGAGGUCGGUCCCUCUCCUUGUUCGGGCGGUGUUCGGCGGUCGACGUCACCGGCCUUCUAGCCAUCGCUGAUCCAUCUUUCAUUUUCUAUAGGUUUUGUCUAUUUUUUCUACACACCUGGUUUUCAUUAUCCAAUUACAUGUUCAUGUAUUUAACCCUCUGUGUCCCCCAUGUUUGUUGUGCGUAUUAUUUCUAUGUUCAGUUCGGUUCAUGAUGGCUGGCUUUUUGACUGGGUGCUGUGUUCACCCGUGCGUAAUAUUUACUGUUGGUAUUUGGUCAAGUGUAUUUUGUUUACCGUAUGCCUUUAUUUUUUGAGUAAAGUACGUUGCUCACUCAUUUUGCUCUCCUGUGCCUGA